AAGUCGUAACAAGGUUUCCGUAGGUGAACCUGCGGAAGGAUCAUUAACACGUAUCCAACGUUAAAACCCCCCCCGUGAACUUUCAAUCCUGCUCUUGUAAGUAGCCCGGAAAGUUGUUUUGAUUCAGAGACCUCUGGCUACGUGAGAACAUUGGAACAGUUACAAUUCGAGCGGUAGUUUCAUAGGCAUUGUUUCCCCAAGCAGUCAGUGUCGGAAAGUGUCACUGAUUGUGCAAGGAUAGCGCUUCACGAUUCCUGUAGACCGUACACUCGGGCAGGAGCUAUGCCAAAGGGUCCCCAUGCCCCCUUAUAACCCCACAGUUUAAUGUAAAGCUCAAUGUAAUACAUUGGGUAAAAAAACCGAACAACUGUUAACAAUGGAUAUCUUGGUUCUC
This 394-nucleotide unclassified non-coding RNA is filed under the name fungal sp. RNAcentral's name for it is "partial internal transcribed spacer region". The stretch from base 1 to 46 matches the Rfam family "Eukaryotic small subunit ribosomal RNA", at positions 1786 to 1831 of the family's 1831-position model. Lineage: Eukaryota; Fungi. The record is from RNAcentral.